Molecule: ribosomal RNA, 406 nt
Filed under: uncultured bacterium
Lineage: Bacteria
Description: bacterial SSU rRNA
Rfam family: Bacterial small subunit ribosomal RNA
Source: RNAcentral
GGGCCCGCACAAGCGGUGGAUUAUGUGGAUUAAUUCGAUGCAACGCGAAAAACCUUACCUGGCCUUGACAUGUACCGAAUUUAGCAGAGAUGCUUUAGUGCUCGUAAGAGAACGGUAACACAGGUGCUGCAUGGCUGUCGUCAGCUCGUGUCGUGAGAUGUUGGGUUAAGUCCCGCAACGAGCGCAACCCUUGCCAUUAAUUGCCAUCAUUUAGUUGGGCACUUUAAUGGGACUGCCGGUGACAAACCGGAGGAAGGUGGGGAUGACGUCAAGUCCUCAUGGCCCUUAUGGCCAGGGCUUCACACGUAAUACAAUGGUCGGUACAGAGGGCUGCUAACCCGCGAGGGGGUGCUAAUCUCAGAAAACCGAUCGUAGUCCGGAUUGUUGUCUGCAACUCGACAGCAUG